RNAcentral lists this ribosomal RNA (1085 nucleotides) under Paracaprella pusilla. Its description in RNAcentral is "partial large subunit ribosomal RNA". It matches the Rfam family "Eukaryotic large subunit ribosomal RNA", at positions 104 to 900 of the family's 3401-position model. Lineage: Eukaryota; Metazoa; Arthropoda; Malacostraca; Amphipoda; Caprellidae. The record is from RNAcentral.
UGAGCCCAGCGCAGAACGUUCCGGGGCACUCGCCCUGAGAAUGAAUGUUGCGUUAAGGAUAUUGGCAUACACCCAUGGCAGUUACACUUUGCUAAGUCAGCCUCGAAUGGUUCUCGUGAAGCCGGUAACACGGUGAGACUCCAGGGAGGGUGUUAGACCCGUGUGAAGGUGCAAUCUGCUUGGGCAAGCCGAUAUCCCGAGAGUCGCGUUGUUUGAACAUGCAGCGCUAAGCAGGUCGUAGACUCGAUCUAAGGCUAAAUAUGUCCACAGAACCGAUAGUUAACAAGUACCGUGAGGGAAAGUUGAAAAGCACUCCGUAACGGAGAGUCAAAAGACCGUGAAACCACUCAGAGUAUAAGCCAAUGGUGUCUGGAAGGUCCUGUGCUUACAUCUUGGUGUCAAGGACUCAUGCGAACCUCAGCACUUGCGGGAGCAAUCUCCGUUGCUUUGGUAAGCUUGUCCGCUGAAGCACUCCGUUGACCCACCUGGCUCGUUGUGAGGUGUCCUGAGAGCAAAGCGAAGUGUUAAGAUUGGCUUGGAGUUGGGCGUGGGCGUCUCGAUGCCUUUCGCACUCUCCUUUUCGAGCACUUCUUCAGUUCUAUUCGCACAAAGUGUGGUAGUCUUGGAGUGUGCGCUGCUUGACGCUCUCUGGAACCAUCCUCUGCGACGAAGCUUCAAUGCCUUAGUGAGCGGCCGUCUUCCUCCUCGGGAGUCGGUACAUUGGCGCGGCUUGCACACUGUCGGUGCUCCGCUGUUCAACUCUGGCGCAAGGUGUUACGUCCGAUACCAUUGGUCACGUCUCGAAACACGGGCCAAGGAGUAUAGCGUGUGUGCAAGUCUAAGGGUUCCACAAAACCUGGAGGCGUAGUGAAAGCGAGUUAUGGUGUCUCACUGGACUGAUGGAGAAGGCAGUGAUGCGUGAUCCCGCAAGUCCCGGACUCGUCGUCUGCACUGCUUCGGUUGUGUUAGCGCGAGCACCGCAGAGCACAUACGCUAUGACCCGAAAGAUAGUGAACUAUGCUUGGCGAGGGUGAAGCCCCAGGAAACUGGGGUGGAGGCCCGUAGCCGUUGUGACGUGCAAAUCC